CUUGAAUAAAUAUAAGAGGUCCAGCCUGCCCAGUGACCAUGUUCAACGGCCGCGGUAUCCUAACCGUGCGAAGGUAGCGUAAUCACUUGUUCUUUAAAUAAGGACUAGUAUGAACGGCACCACGAAGGUUACGCUGUCUCCUUUCUCUAAUCAGUGAAACUAAUCCCCCCGUGAAGAAGCGGGGAUAAACAUAUAAGACGAGAAGACCCUAUGGAGCUUCAAACUUUAAAGGCACUUGCCCUAACAUCAACCUAAUUUCAGAAAACUACUACUACUACCCAAGCAAGAUGACCCUUAGUUUUAGGUUGGGGUGACCGCGGAGCAAAAAAAAACCUCCACAUUGAAAAGAGCCAACUCUUUAGCCAAGAGCCACACCUCUAAGCACCAACAAAAAGACAUUAAUUGACCCAAUAUUUUGAUCAACGAAC
This 428-nucleotide ribosomal RNA is filed under the name Hyalinobatrachium iaspidiense group sp. ABGD cluster 11. RNAcentral describes it as "partial large subunit ribosomal RNA". It matches the Rfam family "Bacterial large subunit ribosomal RNA", at positions 1834 to 2439 of the family's 2925-position model. Lineage: Eukaryota; Metazoa; Chordata; Amphibia; Anura; Centrolenidae. The record is from RNAcentral.